AGUGAACGCUGGCGGUAGGCCUAACACAUGCAAGUCGAACGGCAGCACAGUAAGAGCUUGCUCUUACGGGUGGCGAGUGGCGGACGGGUGAGGAAUACAUCGGAAUCUACUUUUUCGUGGGGGACAACGUUGGGAAACUUACGCUAAUACCGCAUACGACCUACGGGUGAAAGCAGGGGAUCUUCGGACCUUGCGCGAUUGAAUGAGCCGAUGUCGGAUUAGCUAGUUGGCGGGGUAAAGGCCCACCAAGGCGACGAUCCGUAGCUGGUCUGAGAGGAUGAUCAGCCACACUGGAACUGAGACACGGUCCAGACUCCUACGGGAGGCAGCAGUGGGGAAUAUUGGACAAUGGGCGCAAGCCUGAUCCAGCCAUACCGCGUGGGUGAAGAAGGCCUUCGGGUUGUAAAGCCCUUUUGUUGGGAAAGAAAAGCAGCAGGUUAAUACCCCGCUGUUCUGACGGUACCCAAAGAAUAAGCACCGGCUAACUUCGUG
RNAcentral lists this ribosomal RNA (492 nucleotides) under uncultured bacterium. RNAcentral describes it as "partial 16S ribosomal RNA". It matches the Rfam family "Bacterial small subunit ribosomal RNA", at positions 29 to 507 of the family's 1533-position model. The record is from RNAcentral.